UCAAACUUGGUCAUUUAGAGGAAGUAAAAGUCGUAACAAGGUUUCCGUAGGUGAACCUGCGGAAGGAUCAUUAUUGAAUACAACUUGGUUGGGUUGCUGCUGGCUUUUUGAAGCAUGUGCACACCCACACCAAUUUUCAACCACCUGUGCACAUUGUGUAGAUCUUGGAUACUUGAGGAUAGAAAUUUAUCUAUUCUUGUAUUCAAGUCUGCAUUAAUAAUAUUACUCCAUAUGAAUGCAUUAGAAUGUUUUUUUAAGGUGUUUUUUAUGCCUUUGAAAAUUAUAAACAACUUUCAACAACGGAUCUCUUGGCUCUCGCAUCGAUGAAGAACGCAGC
Molecule: unclassified non-coding RNA, 337 nt
Filed under: uncultured fungus
Lineage: Eukaryota; Fungi
Description: partial contains small subunit ribosomal RNA, internal transcribed spacer 1, and 5.8S ribosomal RNA
Rfam family: Eukaryotic small subunit ribosomal RNA (bases 1-73)
Source: RNAcentral